This 251-nucleotide long non-coding RNA is filed under the name Brachypodium distachyon (stiff brome). RNAcentral's name for it is "long non-coding RNA (BDIS_LNC000011)". The record is from RNAcentral. Lineage: Eukaryota; Viridiplantae; Streptophyta; Magnoliopsida; Poales; Poaceae.
UUCUUUUUUCUUAAUGUUAAUAAAAAAAAGAAGAAAAUUCUUCUUUUUUAUUUUGAAAAAUAGAUAUGGGCCGAGAGGCAAUCAGAUAGAUUUUCUCUUUAGCGGGUAUUUCCAUAUAGGACUUGUUAUAAUAAAAAAAGCAGGUUGCAGGUUAUAGAAAAAAGAAAAAACGCUUUUUUUCGAUUUUUUAUCAAGAAAGCAAAAAGGGUUCUUAUCAAACCCACAAUAAAAUAGGAAACAAGGAUAAAGAA